Molecule: non-coding RNA, 73 nt
Organism: Sciurus carolinensis (gray squirrel)
Lineage: Eukaryota; Metazoa; Chordata; Mammalia; Rodentia; Sciuridae
Source: the annotation of a RefSeq genome assembly
GGGGAUGUAGCUCAGUUGGUAGAGUACUUGCCUAGCACGCACAAGGCCCUGAGUUCAAUCCCCAGCACUUCCU